UACAGAGGGUGCAAGCGUUGCUCGGAAUCAUUGGGCGUAAAGGGCAAGUAGGUGGUCUCGUUUGUCUGAGGUGAAAUCCCUGGGCUUAACCUAGGAACUGCCUCAGAAACGGCGAGACUUGAGUACUGGAGAGGGUCGCGGAAUUCCCGGUGUAGCGGUGAAAUGCGUAGAUAUUGGGAGGAACACCAGUGGCGAAGGCGGCUCACUGGACCGGAACUGACGCUGAGGCGCGAAAGCGUGGGGAGCAAACAGG
This 253-nucleotide ribosomal RNA is filed under the name uncultured bacterium. RNAcentral describes it as "partial 16S ribosomal RNA". It matches the Rfam family "Bacterial small subunit ribosomal RNA", at positions 524 to 776 of the family's 1533-position model. The record is from RNAcentral.